RNAcentral lists this unclassified non-coding RNA (604 nucleotides) under Rhodotorula toruloides. Lineage: Eukaryota; Fungi; Basidiomycota; Microbotryomycetes; Sporidiobolales; Sporidiobolaceae. The record is from RNAcentral.
GUUCCGCCGUGCUCGUACGCCAGACUGGCGAGGGGAAAGGAUGCAAGUCGGUCAAACUGAGUGCCAUUCGAGGUGACUGUAAGGUUCAGGACGAUGCUGGCUGCGUCUGCCGACAGGAAGCCGCAUUCUUUCGAGCUCGGCGGGAUGUAGUCGACGAUGGCAGGUUGAUCUGCAGCUCACAGAAGUUCAGUGCCCUUCACAGGGAGUAGCUGGGCAAGCAAGACCCACAGGAGUUCCCGCUCAACAGCGAGAUCUGCGAGCCGGAAGAACGUGCCGUCGUGGACAUCUCGCUACCAAAUCCUUCCGUCACGAUCAAAGGCUACGCUAUCGGUGCACACGGCGUACCGAUUGCCUCCGUCCAUGUUGCCCUCGUCUCGCUUCCCGUGACCGGCUCACCCGACUCUGCGACGACUCCCUCUGUCUCCGUCUCCGAGGUCGCCUCCUCUGAACUCUGCAAGAUCCGCCUCGCUGCUUCAAACGUCCCUUUCUCCGCCUGGACCUCUGCAGGUCUCGACGCCGGUCCCGCCUCUUCCGCCUCCUCCUCCUCCUCAGCAAAACACGCCAAACACUGGGCCUGGACGCUCUUCACUGUCACCCUCCCCAU